Pseudophryne corroboree (corroboree frog) is the source of this 2344-nucleotide long non-coding RNA. RefSeq lists it as uncharacterized. The record is from RefSeq and is a predicted model, not a curated record. NCBI's taxonomy places the organism in Eukaryota, Metazoa, Chordata, Amphibia, Anura, Myobatrachidae. The transcript is spliced from 3 exons.
CAUGUGGAGCAUGAUGAAACCGGUUAGGACGCCUCAAUUCUUUUUUUUUUUUUUUUUUACCAACUGGACUUCUACACUCUGCCUAACAAGCCUUUUGCAUGACAAGCACUUUCAUCUAUACUAAGAGACCGAUAUUGGCCUUGCAGCCCCUGCAGUGGCAUAUUAUUUUUUGCGCGCUGCAGCUGACAUCGAGGCCUGCCGAGCAGCAUUGGCAACUCAGUCUCCAUAGUGGCUCCUUUAUACCUCCAGCAGCAUCUACGUGUAGGACUCCACCCGGUGCAAGCUUUGCACUCUCCCUCCCAGUGACAGCUAUGUGGUGGGCAGCGCAGGAUAAUCUAACCGAGGAUUCUCGGUUAGAAACCAGCCCACGGGAGAGAAAGUGCAAUACUACCAUGACUAAUAUGUGAAUCUGUUAAACAAGGUAAUAGCACAUUCGCAAGAUGAGGGUGUAAUCACAAGAUCGACAGCACUUUGUGAGACCAGUGAUGUCUUCUUACAAGCAAGAACCACAGUCAUCCUGCUUUAUGUUAUGAGGAACACCUUUACUACAUCAGCAUAGGCAGUACCUGGAGUUAAAAAAAACAGUGCUUAAGGAGGAUGCUGCCCUCUCCGCAGGUUAAGUAACUACUGGAGCUAUCCAGAGCUCCCAAUGGGCAAAUCCAGGACAUUUUGAUGGACCCAUCAAGGAUGUCUUUCUGGACAAAUCUGUGAUUUCUAACUAUGCAUGUCCAAGGCAUCUUUACAAAAAUAUUCAUGGUAUCUUACCAAGCACAUCCAAGACUUGGUGGCAGGCACACAUAGGAUGCUUUGCUUGAAACACCUAUGACACCUUGCUUUCCAUAUACAGUGCAUCCCACUUAAAAUAUUAGAGAGGAUUUUGCUGGCCAGUGCCACCAUCAUGGGGGGUACUGAAGGGACAACUGUCCCAGACCCAGCCACUCUGACAGAGAAGGGAGGGCCCGGGCUGCUCAUACAGCCCGCAGCUGCCAUCAUUGCUGCUGCCACUACCUUGCAGUAAGGUGAUGGUGGGCCCCAUGUUCUCCCAUCUCCCAUUGGCACUAGCACAGCCCACUGCCCAUGCAGCAAACUACUAAAGAGCCCUGCUGGCUGCCACUGCAAUAAAGUUUAUUGUGCACCUGUGGUUCACAGUGGGAUACAAGUGUGACUGAUGCUCUUCCAAUGGAGAUCUGUGGUGCACUCACUGUUCCUGCACAGUUACUCUGUCCCAGAAGCCAUGAUAACACCUGCAAUAGGGGACAAGAUGGCCGCUGCCUGGUCCCGCUGAACUUGCUCUGCAGCAAAUGACAAUGCACAGGCUGUUGCUGCUGGACCAUGAGAUGGGACAAACCAGUGCAUGCUGUAGUAGGCUGAAUCUCAUGAAUCUGACCCAUCUGCCAUUGUCACAGCGUAGCGGGAAUCCUGCCAAUUCACUGCAGGCCUUUGUAGACCAGCUGAGAGCGCUAUCUAUAUAAUUAUGUAAGUCAUGUUUGUUUAUACACACACUAACACGUAUACACAUCAUAUUUGUUUUCCUCUUUGUUUUUAAGGAGGGGCGGCACCAAACACAAACUUGCUUCUGGGAUACUGGGAUGAAUUUAUGCCCCUGCUUUUCAUGUUGCAACAUUGGGCUUAUUGCCAUAUUACAGUAUGUAAUGUUGGGAUGAAUAUGGUGGCAUAAAACAGGCAUCAUGGAUAUUAAUUUGUAUAUACUGGGUGUAGAGUAGUUAUUUGCAUUAAACUGUAUACAGUGUGCAGCAUUAAACUGUAUAAUGUGCAUUGUGAUUGCAAGCAUAGUAUUUGCUGAUUUAGCCAUACUGUCCAUGCUUUUUAUAUACAAUGUCACCAUAUUAUGCAGUGAACAUUAAGGAUAUUUUUAUUUGCUAAACUUUUCAUAUACUCUGAGAUUCAUUCUGUGAUCUAUGUUAUGCACAGAACACUAAAUAUGUCCUUUAUAAAUUAAGUCAGGCAAGUCUUUUAUUUUAUCUUUUAUACAGGACAUUGAUAUUUUAGCAUGAUGUACAGAGUAAGCAUCUCUUAUGGGAUCCAAUAAAAACACUGACAAUAACAAUGUAGGUAUCCAUAAUGUUGACAACACAACAUCAACAGCUAUGAUGUUGCCAUUUUUAGAAUGUCAACAGGUGAAAUGUCAACAUUAGGGUUAGAGUUAGGCUGCAGGGGGAGGGUAGGGUUAGGCACUAGAAUGAGGGUUAGGAAUAGAGAUUAAAAUUAGUGAUAGCAGUCACCGGAGGAUCGGAGAUCUGACCUAGAAGUGACGGUCAAUUCAGCAUUAGGAUCUGGAAGAUGCUGCUGGAAUCUUUGCUUUGCCAGGAGAUGGUAAAUCACC